RNAcentral lists this ribosomal RNA (372 nucleotides) under uncultured organism. Its description in RNAcentral is "bacterial SSU rRNA". It matches the Rfam family "Bacterial small subunit ribosomal RNA", at positions 526 to 896 of the family's 1533-position model. The record is from RNAcentral.
CAGAGGUCGCAAGCGUUUAAUCGGAUUUACUGGGCGUAAAGCGUGUGUAGGUGGCUGUACAAGUCGGUUGUGAAAUCCCCGGGCUCAACCUGGGAACUGCUUCCGAGACUGUGCGACUAGAGAUCGGUAGAGGGCGGUGGAAUUUCCGGUGUAGCGGUGAAAUGCGUAGAUAUCGGAAGGAACACCAAUGGCGAAGGCAGCCGCCUGGGCCUGAUCUGACACUGAGACACGAAAGCGUGGGGAUCAAACAGGAUUAGAUACCCUGGUAGUCCACGCCGUAAACGAUGGGUACUUGACGUCGGUACGCUCUGCGUAUCGGUGUCGCAGCUAACGCGAUAAGUACCCCGCCUGGGGAGUACGGCCGCAAGGUUG